AGCAGUAGCCGCGGUAAUACGUAGGUGGCAAGCGUUGUCCGGAAUUAUUGGGCGUAAAGCGCGCGCAGGCGGCUUCCCAAGUCCCUCUUAAAAGUGCGGGGCUUAACCCCGUGAUGGGAAGGAAACUGGGAAGCUGGAGUAUCGGAGAGGAAAGUGGAAUUCCUAGUGUAGCGGUGAAAUGCGUAGAGAUUAGGAAGAACACCGGUGGCGAAGGCGACUUUCUGGGCGAAAACUGACGCUGAGGCGCGAAAGCGUGGGGAGCAAACAGGAUUAGAUACCCGGGUAGUCCCUGUCUCUUAUACA
This 303-nucleotide ribosomal RNA is filed under the name uncultured bacterium. RNAcentral's name for it is "partial 16S ribosomal RNA". It matches the Rfam family "Bacterial small subunit ribosomal RNA", at positions 507 to 808 of the family's 1533-position model. The record is from RNAcentral.